This 371-nucleotide ribosomal RNA is filed under the name uncultured bacterium. RNAcentral describes it as "bacterial SSU rRNA". It matches the Rfam family "Bacterial small subunit ribosomal RNA", at positions 527 to 896 of the family's 1533-position model. The record is from RNAcentral.
GGAGGGUGCAAGCGUUGUUCGGAAUUAUUGGGCGUAAAGCGCGUGUAGGUGGUCGGGUAAGUCAGAUGUGAAAGCCUUCUGCUUAACAGAAGAAGUGCAUUUGAAACUGCUCGGCUAGAGUACGGGAGAGGAGAGUGGAAUUCCCGGUGUAGAGGUGAAAUUCGUAGAUAUCGGGAGGAACACCAGUGGCGAAGGCGGCUCUCUGGUCCGAUACUGACGCUGAGACGCGAAAGCGUGGGGAGCAAACAGGAUUAGAUACCCUGGUAGUCCACGCCGUAAGCGAUGGGCACUAGGUGUAGGAGGUAUUGACCCCUUCUGUGCCGAAGCUAACGCAUUAAGUGCCCCGCCUGGGGAGUACGGCCGCAAGGCUA